Molecule: transfer RNA, 72 nt
Filed under: Heterocephalus glaber (naked mole-rat)
Lineage: Eukaryota; Metazoa; Chordata; Mammalia; Rodentia; Bathyergidae
Rfam family: tRNA
About the family: Transfer RNA (tRNA) molecules are approximately 80 nucleotides in length.
Source: Rfam by way of RNAcentral
GGGAGUGUAGCUUGGUGGUAAUGCACAUGCUUACUAUGCACAAAGCCCUGGGAUCAAUCCCCGGCACCACCA